AAUCAACGCUGGCGGCGUGCCUAACACAUGCAAGUCGAGCGGGAAAGUUCCCUUCGGGGAGCGAGUACAGCGGCGCACGGGUGAGUAACACGUAGGUAACCUACCCUGGAGACUGGGAUAACCUGCCGAAAGGCGGGCUAAUACCAGAUAAGACCACAGGGGCUCCGGCCCCAGAGGCAAAAGGUGGCCUCUGCUUGCAAGCUACCACUCCGGGAUGGGCCUGCGCGCCAUUAGCAGUUGGUGAGGUAACGGCUCACCAAGGCAGAGAUGGCUAGCUGGUCUGAGAGGAUGGCCAGCCACACUGGGACUGAGACACGGCCCAGACUCCUACGGGAGGCAGCAGUGGGGAAUAUUGCGCAAUGGGCGAAAGCCUGACGCAGCGACGCCGCGUGGGUGAUGAAGGCCUUCGGUCGUAA
Molecule: ribosomal RNA, 416 nt
Filed under: uncultured bacterium
Lineage: Bacteria
Description: bacterial SSU rRNA
Rfam family: Bacterial small subunit ribosomal RNA
Source: RNAcentral